This 63-nucleotide transfer RNA is filed under the name Camelus bactrianus (Bactrian camel). It matches the Rfam family "tRNA", at positions 5 to 66 of the family's 71-position model. Rfam says of the family: Transfer RNA (tRNA) molecules are approximately 80 nucleotides in length. Their secondary structure includes four short double-helical elements and three loops (D, anti-codon, and T loops). The record is from Rfam by way of RNAcentral. Lineage: Eukaryota; Metazoa; Chordata; Mammalia; Artiodactyla; Camelidae. RNAcentral also lists the same sequence under 1 other name.
AUAUAGCUCCGUGGUAGAGUGCAUGCUUAGCAGGCAGGAGGUCCUGGGCUCAAUUCCCAGUAU